RNAcentral lists this ribosomal RNA (259 nucleotides) under Bacillus swezeyi. Its description in RNAcentral is "partial 16S ribosomal RNA". It matches the Rfam family "Bacterial small subunit ribosomal RNA", at positions 1 to 250 of the family's 1533-position model. The record is from RNAcentral. Lineage: Bacteria; Bacillati; Bacillota; Bacilli; Caryophanales; Bacillaceae.
UUCAUGGAGAGUUUGAUCCUGGCUCAGGACGAACGCUGGCGGCGUGCCUAAUACAUGCAAGUCGAGCGGACCGACGGGAGCUUGCUCCCUUAGGUCAGCGGCGGACGGGUGAGUAACACGUGGGUAACCUGCCUGUAAGACUGGGAUAACUCCGGGAAACCGGGGCUAAUACCGGAUGCUUGAUUGAACCGCAUGGUUCAAUCAUAAAAGGCGGCUUCGGCUGCCGUUUACAGAUGGACCCGCGGCGCAUUAGCUAGUU